RNAcentral lists this ribosomal RNA (425 nucleotides) under uncultured prokaryote. Its description in RNAcentral is "bacterial SSU rRNA". It matches the Rfam family "Bacterial small subunit ribosomal RNA", at positions 355 to 774 of the family's 1533-position model. The record is from RNAcentral.
UGGGGAAUCAUGGUCAAUGGGCGAAAGCCUGAACCUGUGACGCCGCGUGAGUGAUGAAGGUCGUAAGAUCGUAAAACUCUUUUCAGGGAUCUUAAAGCCUGUCUGUCAACAACAGGCAGGUCUGACUCUCCCUGGAAGAAGCCCCAGCCAACUACGUGCCAGCAGCUGCGGUAAUACGUAGGGGGCGAGCGUUAUUCGGAAUUACUGGGUGUAAAGGGUAUGUAGGCGGCCCUUCAAGUCGCGUGUCAAAGUCCAGUGCUCAACGCUGGGUGUGCGCGCGAUACUGACGGGCUUUAGGGCUGGAGAGGUGAGCGGAAUUCCCGGUGUAGUGGUAAAAUACGUAGAGAUCGGGAGGAACACCAGCGGCGUAGGCGGCUCACUAGACAGUUUCUGACGCUAAGAUACGAAAGCGUGGGGAGCAAACA